This 446-nucleotide ribosomal RNA is filed under the name uncultured bacterium. Its description in RNAcentral is "partial 16S ribosomal RNA". It matches the Rfam family "Bacterial small subunit ribosomal RNA", at positions 330 to 792 of the family's 1533-position model. The record is from RNAcentral.
CCCAGACUCCUACGGGAGGCAGCAGUGGGGGAUAUUGCACAAUGGGGGGAACCCUGAUGCAGCGACGCCGCGUGGGUGAAGGAGUAUUUCGGUAUGUAAAGCCCUAUCAGCAGGGAAGAACAAUGACGGUACCUGACUAAGAAGCACCGGCUAAAUACGUGCCAGCAGCCGCGGUAAUACGUAUGGUGCAAGCGUUAUCCGGAUUUACUGGGUGUAAAGGGAGCGUAGACGGCAGUGCAAGUCCGGAGUGAAAGCCCGGGGCUCAACCCUGGGACUGCUCUGGAAACUGUAAAGCUGGAGUGCGGGAGGGGCAGGCGGAAUUCCUGGUGUAGCGGUGAAAUGCGUAGAUAUCAGGAGGAACACCGGCGGCGAAGGCGGCCUGCUGGACCGUAACUGACGUUGAGGCUCGAAAGCGUGGGGAGCAAACAGGAUUAGAUACCCGAGUA